Molecule: unclassified non-coding RNA, 196 nt
Filed under: uncultured Mortierellomycotina
Lineage: Eukaryota; Fungi; Mortierellomycota
Description: sequence contains ITS1
Source: RNAcentral
UAAUAAAAGUGUUUUAUGGCACUUUUCAAACAAUCCAUAUCCACCUUGUGUGCAAUGUUUUAUUUUGAAAGGGGGGAAAGAGUGUAAAAAACUUUUUUUUUUCCCUUUCUUUUUAUAAACUUAUCAACUCUUUAUUUUUAAUUGCCAAUUUGUCUGAAAUAAAAAUUAUUAUUUAUGAAUAACUUAAUUCAAAAUA